GAUAGGGUUCAAAGGUUAUAUUUAAGGUUUGAAAAAGAAAAUUUGAAAAGAUCAUAUAUUUAUAAUUAUUUUUUUUUAGUUUUUUGUUUUAUUAAAACUUGGAAAUAUUAGAUUUGGGAUUUUUUAUUUUAAACUUAGUGUUUAUAUGAUGUUUGAAUAGGGAUAUAGGGUUUAGGGUUUGAAAAGAUGUAAAUGAUUUAG
Molecule: long non-coding RNA, 201 nt
Filed under: Brassica napus (rape)
Lineage: Eukaryota; Viridiplantae; Streptophyta; Magnoliopsida; Brassicales; Brassicaceae
Description: long non-coding RNA (BNAP_LNC000416)
Source: RNAcentral